GGGGAAUAUUGGACAAUGGGGGCAACCCUGAUCCAGCAAUGCCGCGUGUGUGAAGAAGGCCUGAGGGUUGUAAAGCACUUUCAGUGGGGAGGAGGGUAUUUUGGUUAAGAGCUGAGAUACUGGACGUUACCCACAGAAGAAGCACCGGCUAACUCCGUGCCAGCAGCCGCGGUAAUACGGAGGGUGCGAGCGUUAAUCGGAAUUACUGGGCGUAAAGAGUGCGUAGGUGGUUUUGUAAGUUAUCUGUAAAAGCCCUGGGCUCAACCUGGGAAGGCCAGAUAAAACUGCGAGACUCGAGUAUAGGAGAGGGUAGUGGAAUUUCCGGUGUAGCGGUGAAAUGCGUAGAGAUCGGAAGGAACACCAGUGGCGAAGGCGGCUACCUGGCCUGAUACUGACACUGAGGCACGAAAGCGUGGGGAGCAAAC
RNAcentral lists this ribosomal RNA (425 nucleotides) under uncultured bacterium. Its description in RNAcentral is "bacterial SSU rRNA". It matches the Rfam family "Bacterial small subunit ribosomal RNA", at positions 356 to 773 of the family's 1533-position model. The record is from RNAcentral.